This is a long non-coding RNA of Podarcis raffonei (Aeolian wall lizard), 3115 nucleotides long. RefSeq lists it as uncharacterized. The transcript has 2 exons. NCBI's taxonomy places the organism in Eukaryota, Metazoa, Chordata, Lepidosauria, Squamata, Lacertidae. The record is from RefSeq and is a predicted model, not a curated record.
UGCCUCGUUUUACAGGAAACUUCAUCCCUGUUUUAAGCCCUGCUGUGUGCCCAGAGGGCAGGUUUCCUUGGGGUUAAAAUGGCCAACAUAUAGGAGGUGAAAGGACUUCACCUGUGUUAUAGGACAUUUUUAAAUUCAAAAGCCAGGCCGGCUGAAUUUUUUCGUUGCUGGGGGGAAAAAAGACAUUUAAAAAAUAGCUAUCGCACACCUGCACUGAGGAAUGUCAGGCUAAACAAAGGGGUGCAGAUUAAGAGAGUUGCAGAACUGGCAAGCUCCCCUUAUAAAAACAAUAAAUGAGGGCUGGGAAACAACUCAUGCGGAGCGCUUUGGAGCGCCCCACCCAGCCAUUUGGCAAGAAGCCAUUGUCCACGUGGAGCACAUGUGUUUGCUGUUGCCUAAAAAAGUCCCCAUCUGGCAUCUGCAAUAUUCCGACUGCGUGCAGCUUUCAAGGCAUUCAAGACAACGAUGUGACGCAUCUUGAUGCACGCAGCUCACACAUAUAUUCAAAUUCUGUUGAGAGCUCCAUGUUGCAAGGCAAAGGGGAGGCUGUCCACUCACAACUCCUCCCCUGCCUUCACCCAUUUGUUCCAUUUUUCUUCCAGUUUGGGGAGACCUGACAGGAGGCAAUGCUGGAGAAAUCAGCAGGCAAGGAAGACUCAACUCUCCCACUCUCAUCCUCAGUGACUCUCCCCACAAAUGCUGCUACUACACCUAGCAAAUGUGUGUUUGGGAAAGGUGUUUCACCCAGGCAAUGCAAAACCCCACUUUUUGUUACUCAGCUGAAGAAAGCAAAUGGCGAAGGAUGCCUGGGCAAGAAUUGAGGCCUGAAAGAAUGCACCCCCCUCUCAUGCAAUGAAGUGGUACCCACAUUCUGGCCCCAAGUAGUCAAGUCACCUCUGCUAUUUUUAAUAGGCCAAGAGGGGCAGGUGUCAAGAGGGCAAGUGGCUGGGCAUAUGGUCGCCAGCACCUUGUGUACACCAGGUGACUGCAUAAGCUGAAACUGAUCCCACCACACAUCCUUGGCAUUGGAUACUUCAUCUGGAACUGCAGAAUCAAGGUCACUCUGCAGUUAGACUUUACCCUCCAAAUGUGUUGCCAGUUGGUCACAGUGGGUCUCUGCAUGCUUCAGAGGUUGCUUCCCCACUAGUUACAGAGGAUGCCAGGCAAGCUGCAAAAUGAGCCUUCUUCGCAGCCCACAUAGCCACAUGGUAAGCAUGAUUAUGUGCUCUAGCCAGCAUUCACUUGGCUUCGGAGUGUGUUUUGCGCCAUUGGGGCUCUAGUCUUCGUGCAGCGUGCUUUAUAGCCAGAAGCUCCCCAGGAUAUCAAGGAGCCACUCAGGCUCCAUGGGGCUAGAGAGGAUGCUUGGGAGUGAUUGUGUCAGCUGCCCGUUUCAUCUUGCCAUGCCAUAGCAAAGCCAGGGUUUUGGCAGGAUUGUGGGCAUCUCCACUAGAAGACCCCCCCAAGAGCAUUCAGGAUUGCUUCAGGUUCCACAAGUGUCCAAAGGCAGGUGAUCUGAACACCCACCAGAUUUACAGGGGCAAAGUGCUGCUACAGUUCCAAAGUUAACCAUGUUACAUGGUCCAGCCAUGACAAAGGAGUUCAUUGCUGCCCCCAUGUCUUCAGUCUCCAUCCCUCAUAUUGAUGUGUUGGAACAGUGACUACUUGAGAAUCAGGAUAGGAACCAAAUGUAUAGGUCUCCACCCCAGAUGGUGGUCAGCUCCCCCACUCCUACUAUACCUUCCCCUGCUGCUGCCACUAAAACUGGGGCCACAUCUUCCUAACUCUCUGCUGCCUACCCAGCCAGGCGCAUCCUAGGACCAUCAUCUGAGAUCACUGUAUACAGCUGGGUGAUUAGGACCACAUUGUGUUCACAUUCUUCCCAUCAUUAGAUGGGAAACAACAUCUCUAUGGAGAAUGGCUAUGAUGUAGCACCUGUAAUUCAUCCAGUUCUUUUAUUUGAUAAAGUAUAUCAUGUGUCCUUCACCUAUGAAGACAUGCAAGCUGUACAUGAGACCAUCAAGGAAAUUACAGCUGGAAAACUGAUACAGUAUAGAGACUCACUUCUAAACAGGCAUAACAGCUCAACUGAAUUUACAAAUCAUCUUAACCCUUACCUGGUUUAGAUUGAAUGUAUUUUGGCAGCGCUACAACACACUAGUUGGCAAGCGAGACGCAGUAUAUGGUUUGGCUGGCUUGCAAAACAUAUAAUAGGCUAAAAACUACUGCCAGCCGGUUGCCUGUGAGCCCCCUGUAAACACGGGACAUGUUAUUGUGACCUCAUAGAAUUUCAUGAACACUCAGGAGGGAAGUUGUCAAGGAAACUGCUGACAAGAUGCAGAAGUAAAAAAUGCACUUCACUGAGGAAAAAACCUUCACACAGAACUGAGGAACAGGGGUAGAUGCGAGUUGUUGACAUGAAGAUAGAGUUAUUGGGAUGUGGAGUAAGAAAGAGAGAGAGCUUUUCAGCUGAAUGCAAAGCUACCUUGUUUCCUCCCGAGCCAAGAUCGCCAGUAGCUUUGAAAUAUCGCCUGGACAGUCAGAGAUCAGAAUGGAGAAUUUGCAAACCCUGUUGUCCAGCGUAAGGGCACGAUCUAUGCAUUGCCUCAUCAGUGAAAGUUCCAGGUUACCACUGCACACUGCAACAGCCACUCUGGAAAAUGAAUAAGAUAACCAGAAAUUCAUUACUAUACAAAAGAAGUCCCUUCAUCAUGUUUUAUAUCAGCGUGAUAACAUCUGCUAAAAUGUACAGUAUGUUAUUGCCUUCCCCCAUCCAUUACAGCUGCCAUUUGCAUAGAUGACAAAGCAAAUGAUAUUCAUUUGAUAUCUGUCAAUUCAAGCCAGGUCUCUGAAAUAGUCGAUUGUUUAUAUGUCAUUUUUUUAGAACAGACAUCCAUGAACAAAAUCGACCAAGAGUACUAUCACAUCAGCCAUUUACACCCCAGGAAAACUGUUUUGAAUGGCAGGCUUGGUUCUUCCCCAGUAGAGCAUCUGUUUGUGUUCAAAAUUAGGCCGACUCACAAGUAGCUUGCAUGUUGCGCUUUGUGGAGUAAACUUAUUGCAGUCCAGCAAUUGGCAGGAUCUAACUGUCACAAGCCGAUGAGGGGACAAGAAGAGA